GACGAGGGAUCCUAGCGUUGUUCGGAAUCAUUGGGCGUAAAGCGGGUGUAGGCGGAUCUAUAAGUCAGGUGUGAAAUCCCAGAGCUCAACUCUGGAAGUGCACUUGAUACUGUAGAUCUUGAGUGUGGUAGAGGUUACUGGAAUUCCUGGUGUAGUGGUGAAAUACGUAGAUAUCAGGAGGAAUACCGGAGGCGAAGGCGAGUAACUGGGCCAACACUGACGCUGAGACCCGAAAGCGUGGGGAUCAAACAGG
Molecule: ribosomal RNA, 253 nt
Filed under: uncultured bacterium
Lineage: Bacteria
Description: partial 16S ribosomal RNA
Rfam family: Bacterial small subunit ribosomal RNA
Source: RNAcentral